UACGUAGGUCCCGAGCGUUGUCCGGAUUUACUGGGUGUAAAGGGAGCGUAGACGGAAUUGCAAGUCCGAUGUGAAAAUCCGGGGCCCAACCCCGGAACUGCAUUGGAAACUGUAUUUCUAGAGUGUCGGAGAGGCAAGUGGAAUUCCUGGUGUAGCGGUGAAAUGCGUAGAUAUCAGGAGGAACACCAGUGGCGAAGGCGGCUUGCUGGACGAUGACUGACGUUGAGGCUCGAAAGCGUGGGGAGCAAACAGG
Molecule: ribosomal RNA, 253 nt
Filed under: uncultured bacterium
Lineage: Bacteria
Description: partial 16S ribosomal RNA
Rfam family: Bacterial small subunit ribosomal RNA
Source: RNAcentral